This 87-nucleotide transfer RNA is filed under the name Bacillota bacterium. Its description in RNAcentral is "tRNA-Leu". It matches the Rfam family "tRNA". From Rfam's summary of the family: Transfer RNA (tRNA) molecules are approximately 80 nucleotides in length. Their secondary structure includes four short double-helical elements and three loops (D, anti-codon, and T loops). Further hydrogen bonds mediate the characteristic L-shaped molecular structure. tRNAs have two regions of fundamental functional importance: the anti-codon, which is responsible for specific mRNA codon recognition, and the 3' end, to which the tRNAs corresponding amino acid is attached (by aminoacyl-tRNA synthetases). tRNAs cope with the degeneracy of the genetic code in two manners: having more than one tRNA (with a specific anti-codon) for a particular amino acid; and 'wobble' base-pairing, i.e. permitting non-standard base-pairing at the 3rd anti-codon position. Lineage: Bacteria; Bacillati; Bacillota. The record is from RNAcentral.
GCGGGCGUGGCGGAAUGGCAGACGCGCCAGACUUAGGAUCUGGUGGGGGAGAACCCCGUGGAGGUUCAAGUCCUCUCGCCCGCACCA